Long non-coding RNA from Ipomoea nil (Japanese morning glory), 101 nucleotides. RefSeq lists it as uncharacterized. The record is from RefSeq and is a predicted model, not a curated record. Lineage: Eukaryota; Viridiplantae; Streptophyta; Magnoliopsida; Solanales; Convolvulaceae. The transcript has 3 exons.
CCUUGUUCAAAUCUUUCAAAUUCCUCCAGAUUUUCCUCAAUUGAUAAGGGGGUAUUUGGUAGCCUAAGCCAAUCCUGAGUCCAAGAGUCAAAUUGAAAUUU